This 411-nucleotide ribosomal RNA is filed under the name uncultured fungus. RNAcentral describes it as "eukaryotic LSU rRNA". The record is from RNAcentral. Lineage: Eukaryota; Fungi.
AGAGUUAAACAGUACGUGAAAUUGUUGAAAGGGAAACGCUUGAAGUCAGUCGUGCUGGCGCGAAAUCAACCUGCCCGUUGAGCGAUCACCUGCUGUGGCGAGCCUCAAAACCGCCACGACUCGUGAUCGCUUAAUGGUCUGGCGCACUUUUGUGUCGGCUGGUUAACAUCAAUUUCUUACGUCAUAAAAAGGCUGGAGGGAUGUGGCUCCUUCGGGAGUGUUAUAACCUUUGGCGGAAUGUGAUGUUUGGGAUUGAGGAUUGCAACGAAUACCUUUAGGGCUGUUCCACCUGGCCUCUCGUUGGCAUCCUGGCGGCGACAGCUUGCUGACGUCGUUAGGAUUCGCCUUCGAACAGGCUAGAGUGUGAGCAAAUUUGUUAAGGAUGUUAACGUGUAAUGGCUUUAAACGACC